UACGUAGGAGACGAGCGUUGUCCGGAGUUACUGGGCGUAAAGGGUGCGCAGGUGGCGGCGCGCGUGGGGGGUGAAAUCGCCCGGCUUAACUGGGCGGGGGCCUUCCAGACGGCGUGGCUUGAGCAGCGGAGGGGGACGUGGAAUUCCGGGUGGAGCGGUGAAAUGCGCAGAUAUCAGGAGGAACACCGGUGGCGAAGGCGGGUCUCUGGGCCGAUAUUGACGCUGAGGAGCGAAAGCGUGGGGAGCAAACAGG
This 253-nucleotide ribosomal RNA is filed under the name uncultured bacterium. RNAcentral describes it as "partial 16S ribosomal RNA". It matches the Rfam family "Bacterial small subunit ribosomal RNA", at positions 524 to 776 of the family's 1533-position model. The record is from RNAcentral.